RNAcentral lists this transfer RNA (72 nucleotides) under Loxodonta africana (African savanna elephant). It matches the Rfam family "tRNA". Rfam says of the family: Transfer RNA (tRNA) molecules are approximately 80 nucleotides in length. Their secondary structure includes four short double-helical elements and three loops (D, anti-codon, and T loops). The record is from Rfam by way of RNAcentral. Lineage: Eukaryota; Metazoa; Chordata; Mammalia; Proboscidea; Elephantidae.
GCAUUGGUUGUUCAGUGGUAGAAUUCUUGCCUUUCACGCAGGAGAUUCGAGUUCUAUUUCCAUGCCAAUGCU